UAUUCUGUUAUCAAGUGUUGGCUUGCUAGAAAAAAUAGAAUGCCUGAUGAAGUCAGACACUCAAUGGAAGGAAUUAAGCUCUGCCCAACUCAAAAUGAAAUUUUUCUUGAGUCACCAACUGCAAUAAAUAGCGUCACAAACAUUUACGAAACAGAAGAGGAGGGGUGGAAGAGUGACACUUCAUUAUAUGAAAAUGACACAGAUGAGCCCUGGGAAGAGGAAGUGGAAGAUCUAAUCUCCUGGAUCAACACUCUCAAUACAAAUACUUUAGAAGAUUAAGCAGAACAUUAUCAGAUUAAAAAACUGAACAGCCUCCACCAUAGCCCAGUGUUGUGGAGCAAUUUUGGAAGACUCUCA
Long non-coding RNA from Mandrillus leucophaeus (drill), 357 nucleotides. RefSeq lists it as uncharacterized. Lineage: Eukaryota; Metazoa; Chordata; Mammalia; Primates; Cercopithecidae. The record is from RefSeq and is a predicted model, not a curated record. The transcript has 2 exons.